GAUGAACGCUGGCGGCGUGCCUAAUACAUGCGAGUCGAGCGAACAGACGAGGAGCUUGCUCCUCUGACGUUAGCGGCGGACGGGUGAGUAACACGUGGAUAACCUACCUAUAAGACUGGGAUAACUUCGGGAAACCGGAGCUAAUACCGGAUAAUAUAUUGAACCGCAUGGUUCAAUAGUGAAAGACGGUUUUGCUGUCACUUAUAGAUGGAUCCGCGCCGCAUUAGCUAGUUGGUAAGGUAACGGCUUACCAAGGCGACGAUGCGUAGCCGACCUGAGAGGGUGAUCGGCCACACUGGAACUGAGACACGGUCCAGACUCCUACGGGAGGCAGCAGUAGGGAAUCUUCCGCAAUGGGCGAAAGCCUGACGGAGCAACGCCGCGUGAGUGAUGAAGGUCUUCGGAUCGUAAAACUCUGCUAUUAGGGAAGAACAAAUGUGUAAGUAACUAUGCACGUCUUGACGGUACCUAAUCAGAAAGCCACGGCUAACUACGUG
This 497-nucleotide ribosomal RNA is filed under the name uncultured bacterium. RNAcentral's name for it is "partial 16S ribosomal RNA". It matches the Rfam family "Bacterial small subunit ribosomal RNA", at positions 28 to 507 of the family's 1533-position model. The record is from RNAcentral.